CUUCCGUAGGGGGACCUGCGGAGGGAUCAUUACCGAGUUUACAACUCCCAAACCCCUGUGACAUACCUUAAUGUUGCCUCGGCGGAUCAGCCCGCGCCCCGUAAAACGGGACGGCCCGCCAGAGGACCCAAACUCUAAUGUUUCUUAUUGUAACUUCUGAGUAAAACAAACAAAUAAAUCAAAACUUUCAACAACGGAUCUCUUGGUUCUGGCAUCGAUGAAGAACGCAGCAAAAUGCGAUAAGUAAUGUGAAUUGCAGAAUUCAGUGAAUCAUCGAAUCUUUGAACGCACAUUGCGCCCGCUGGUAUUCCGGCGGGCAUGCCUGUUCGAGCGUCAUUUCAACCCUCAAGCCCCCGGGUUUGGUGUUGGGGAUCGGCUCUGCCCUUCUGGGCGGUGCCGCCCCCGAAAUACAUUGGCGGUCUCGCUGCAGCCUCCAUUGCGUAGUAGCUAACACCUCGCAACUGGAACGCGGCGCGGCCAUGCCGUAAAACCCCAACUUCUGAAUGUUGACCUCGGAUCAGGUAGGAAUACCCGCUGAACUUAAGCAUAUCAAUAAACCGGAGGAAACGU
Molecule: ribosomal RNA, 570 nt
Filed under: Fusarium tricinctum
Lineage: Eukaryota; Fungi; Ascomycota; Sordariomycetes; Hypocreales; Nectriaceae
Description: eukaryotic LSU rRNA
Rfam family: 5.8S ribosomal RNA (bases 183-336)
Source: RNAcentral